GCAUUUUCUGUCCUGUUUAUGCUGCUAUACCAACAGUAGUAGAUUAAACUUUUUUUUCUUUGUGUCAGUCUAGGCGAAGUUACUGACGCAUAGAUAAUACAUCCAGCCACACCUGUGUUCACCUGAACAUGUCUUAAAGCUUUAGUUUGCUGGAACAUAAAGGAUAAAAUUGUGAUUCCUGAGGGUAUUGUCUUUUUUAAAAGUCUGUCUGUGUACCUGCCAAAAGACAGGGGAGUGGCUCGGCAUAAAAUCCUACCCAGAACUCCUGUGGAGACUUGCUGGUCAAAGGAGAGAGAAUAUCAGAAAGAAAACAGCAGAAGUCAGGUAACAACAUUCAUACUGCACAGGUGAAGUUCACAGGCAACUCUUAAGUGGACUUUAUCUAAAAUCCCUUUCUCUUCAGAUUCUCAAGGAUCAAAGCAUGGAAUGGAUGAUUUAAGACAGCAAAGAAACUAUUCAGGAGGAAGUUCAGGAGAGAGAGGCAUCACAGAAACAAUUUCUACUACUAGAAUUACAUCUUUACCGCCACGAGGCUUCAGUGCAUCCGCCAACAAGGGCAUGUCAAGCACCUCUGGGUCUCCUGGUCUGGAAAAGGACAUUUUGAUUCAGAACAACAGCAGUUCUUUUUUUUCAUCCUGUAAGCCAAUCUAGCAUUAUUUUUUAAGAGUUACGCAAUAAUUAGUUUCAGGUUUUACUCUGAUACAGUCUUUAUACUAUAUAUUAUAUGUUUAAUAUUUAAAACAAACUCAUAUAUUUCGUCCCUGUUUGUGUGUCUCAGCAUCUGUGGGUGUGAGUGCAGGUGGGUUAGGCUCUGGAUCAGGAGAAUAUCUGGCAGAGGAGACAACUGUGAGCAGGAAGACAGGUGGUGCCUCUGGAGUUUUCGAGAGUGUCUCUGGAUCGGGAACUGGGUCGAGGCUGAGAUCCAGCUCCACUGAUGGCAUGAGAAGAACACAAGACUCCCCUUUGUUUGUGGAGAGGAAAAGCAAAACUACUCAUUCACGUCGUUAUGAUGGUUAGUCACAGCUGAGACACCUUAAAUAAAUAAAUAAAUACUUUUUUAGCAUUUGUUUUGUCAGUCCCUCAUAAUUACACUAACAUGUAAUAUAUAUA
This 1110-nucleotide long non-coding RNA is filed under the name Sinocyclocheilus anshuiensis. RNAcentral's name for it is "lncRNA (ENSSANG00000008704.1)". The record is from RNAcentral. Lineage: Eukaryota; Metazoa; Chordata; Actinopteri; Cypriniformes; Cyprinidae.